AAAACUAAACAAAAAAUUUAUAUUACAUCUCGAAUCAAUUUUCCAAUUCAAAGCAAAUAAGGUGAGAAAUAAAAAAGAGUUAGAUAAGGUGAGAAAUACUGGAAAAUAAAUAAAUAAAUAAAGCUGGUUUUCUAGAUAUGCUAAGGACUGAUAUGGGACCUCAAUCUUGAGCCAUAUCUCUAGUGAGGUAUAAAUCUAGAGAACAAUGAAGAAAUCUCAUCAAUGUGAAAAGACUAAAUAGAUCAACUUGCAGAGUUAAUGCAAGUCAUGUUUCAAUGCAAGCGUAAAGUAGCGUUAACUGCAGGACACAAAUCUCCAUACUGGUUGGAAAACAA
This is a long non-coding RNA of Juglans microcarpa x Juglans regia, 335 nucleotides long. RefSeq lists it as uncharacterized. The transcript has 2 exons. The record is from RefSeq and is a predicted model, not a curated record. Lineage: Eukaryota; Viridiplantae; Streptophyta; Magnoliopsida; Fagales; Juglandaceae.